Molecule: transfer RNA, 94 nt
Filed under: Caudoviricetes sp.
Lineage: Duplodnaviria; Heunggongvirae; Uroviricota; Caudoviricetes
Description: tRNA-OTHER
Source: RNAcentral
GGUUAUCUAGUGUAGCGGUAGCACGUGCGAGCUUGUGGAAUUCUAGACACUACCAGGUAAGUAAAGGCUGGUUCAAGUCCAGUGAUAACCUCCA